CUGAUGUUGGAGACCGAAGAUAAACACAGAAAGGCUACUCUCUACUCUCCCAGCCUCCCACAUUGGGUCCCAGUAUCCUUGGGAGUGCCUGUGGCUGAAGAAGUCCGCUAGAGCUUCAGCAGCUAGGCUUCUUCCGCAGAGCCAGUCUCUAGGAGUCCCCAGCCUCUCCUGGCCGCUCACGCACCGCACCGGAGGACAUUAGGCCGUCGUCCCAGACUGUCGCGGCGCAGUAAUUACCAUCCGCGGCCCUUCCCGCACGCUCUACGGCCACCAGAUGGUCGAAUCUGCCCAGAACCAAUGGUGCCCAGGAGUCUGACCAAGGAGGACCUACUGUGUGCAAGGGCCGUCACAGGGUUCUAAUUCACUACAUUGUUGGUGGGAAGACACAGCCCUGGACGGAUGGAUGCCAGAAGCCGGAGGAGUCCCUGCGACCUCCACCCAGGAAGAGACACUUAAAAACCUUGUCAGCAAGGUUACAAGGAUGUGGUCUUCCCUACCACAUGCACUCCAUUUGGGGUACAAUAUACAUACCUAGGAGACUUGGGGUCCCCAUCUUUGCACAGAAAUGCCCGAGCAUCUUCCACGGAUCCUCCUCGAAGAAGAAAACGGAUGCUCAGACACCAAGGAAGUUGGUCAGAGUCAGCUAUAGCGUCUCUGUUGGCCAUCACAGCUC
RNAcentral lists this long non-coding RNA (673 nucleotides) under Rattus norvegicus (Norway rat). RNAcentral describes it as "long non-coding RNA NONRATT025274". Lineage: Eukaryota; Metazoa; Chordata; Mammalia; Rodentia; Muridae. The record is from RNAcentral.